UCUACAGGCUUAACACAUGCAAGUCGAGGGGCAGCAUGGUCUUAGCUUGCUAAGGCCGAUGGCGACCGGCGCACGGGUGAGUAACACGUAUCCAACCUGCCGUCUACUCUUGGACAGCCUUCUGAAAGGAAGAUUAAUACAAGAUGGCAUCAUGAGUCCGCAUGUUCACAUGAUUAAAGGUAUUCCGGUAGACGAUGGGGAUGCGUUCCAUUAGAUAGUAGGCGGGGUAACGGCCCACCUAGUCUUCGAUGGAUAGGGGUUCUGAGAGGAAGGUCCCCCACAUUGGAACUGAGACACGGUCCAAACUCCUACGGGAGGCAGCAGUGAGGAAUAUUGGUCAAUGGGCGAGAGCCUGAACCAGCCAAGUAGCGUGAAGGAUGACUGCCCUAUGGGUUGUAAACUUCUUUUAUAAAGGAAUAAAGUCGGGUAUGGAUACCCGUUUGCAUGUACUUUAUGAAUAAGGAUCGGCUAACUCCGUGCCAGCAGCCGCGGUAAUACGGAGGAUCCGAGCGUUAUCCGGAUUUAUUGGGUUUAAAGGGAGCGUAGAUGGAUGUUUAAGUCAGUUGUGAAAGUUUGCGGCUCAACCGUAAAAUUGCAGUUGAUACUGGAUAUCUUGAGUGCAGUUGAGGCAGGCGGAAUUCGUGGUGUAGCGGUGAAAUGCUUAGAUAUCACGAAGAACUCCGAUUGCGAAGGCAGCCUGCUAAGCUGCAACUGACAUUGAGGCUCGAAAGUGUGGGUAUCAAACAGGAUUAGAUACCCUGGUAGUCCACACGGUAAACGAUGAAUACUCGCUGUUUGCGAUAUACUGCAAGCGGCCAAGCGAAAGCGUUAAGUAUUCCACCUGGGGAGUACGCCGGCAACGGUGAAACUCAAAGGAAUUGACGGGGGCCCGCACAAGCGGAGGAACAUGUGGUUUAAUUCGAUGAUACGCGAGGAACCUUACCCGGGCUUAAAUUGCAGAUGAAUUACGGUGAAAGCCGUAAGCCGCAAGGCAUCUGUGAAGGUGCUGCAUGGUUGUCGUCAGCUCGUGCCGUGAGGUGUCGGCUUAAGUGUCAUAACGAGCGCAACCCUUGUUGUCAGUUACUAACAGGUUCCGCUGAGGACUCUGACAAGACUGCCAUCGUAAGAUGUGAGGAAGGUGGGGAUGACGUCAAAUCAGCACGGCCCUUACGUCCGGGGCUACACACGUGUUACAAUGGGGGGUACAGAGGGCCGCUACCACGCGAGUGGAUGCCAAUCCCCAAAACCUCUCUCAGUUCGGACUGGAGUCUGCAACCCGACUCCACGAAGCUGGAUUCGCUAGUAAUCGCGCAUCAGCCACGGCGCGGUGAAUACGUUCCCGGGCCUUGUACACACCGCCCGUCAAGCCAUGGGAGCCGGGGGUACCUGAAGUGCGUAACCGCGAGGAGCGCCCUAGGGUAAAACUGGUGACUGGGGCUAA
This 1441-nucleotide ribosomal RNA is filed under the name uncultured organism. RNAcentral's name for it is "SSU rRNA". It matches the Rfam family "Bacterial small subunit ribosomal RNA". The record is from RNAcentral.